Molecule: ribosomal RNA, 532 nt
Filed under: uncultured bacterium
Lineage: Bacteria
Description: bacterial SSU rRNA
Rfam family: Bacterial small subunit ribosomal RNA
Source: RNAcentral
CCUCUUGACAUCCACGGAAUUUAGCAGAGAUGCUUUAGUGCCUUCGGGAACCGUGAGACAGGUGCUGCAUGGCUGUCGUCAGCUCGUGUUGUGAAAUGUUGGGUUAAGUCCCGNAACGAGCGCAACCCUUAUCCUUUGUUGCCAGCGGUUCGGCCGGGAACUCAAAGGAGACUGCCAGUGAUAAACUGGAGGAAGGUGGGGAUGACGUCAAGUCAUCAUGGCCCUUACGAGUAGGGCUACACACGUGCUACAAUGGCGUAUACAAAGAGAAGCGACCUCGCGAGAGCAAGCGGACCUCAUAAAGUACGUCGUAGUCCGGAUUGGAGUCUGCAACUCGACUCCAUGAAGUCGGAAUCGCUAGUAAUCGUGGAUCAGAAUGCUACGGUGAAUACGUUCCCGGGCCUUGUACACACCGCCCGUCACACCAUGGGAGUGGGUUGCAAAAGAAGUAGGUAGCUUAACCUUCGGGAGGGCGCUUACCACUUUGUGAUUCAUGACUGGGGUGAAGUCGUAACAAGGUAAGCGUAGAUGA